AUCCUGGCUCAGGAUAAACGCUGGCGGCGCACAUAAGACAUGCAAGUCGAACGGACUUAACCAUUAGUUUACUAUUGGGGCGGUUAGUGGCGGACUGGUGAGUAACACGUAAGCAACCUGCCUGUUAGAGGGGAACAACAGUUAGAAAUGACUGCUAAUACCGCAUAUGCCUUAGUUAUCGCAUGAUAAUAGAGGGAAAGGAGCAAUCCGCUAACAGAUGGGCUUGCGUCUGAUUAGAUAGUUGGUGUGGUAACGGCAUACCAAGUCGACGAUCAGUAGCCGGACUGAGAGGUUGAACGGCCACAUUGGGACUGAGAUACGGCCCAGACUCCUACGGGAGGCAGCAGUCGGGAAUAUUGCGCAAUGGAGGAAACUCUGACGCAGUGACGCCGCGUGUAGGAAGAAGGUCUUCGGAUUGUAAACUUCUGUCCUCAGGGAAGAUAAUGACGGUACCUGAGGAGGAAGCUCCGGCUAACUACGUGCCAGCAGCCGCGGUAA
This 498-nucleotide ribosomal RNA is filed under the name uncultured bacterium. RNAcentral describes it as "bacterial SSU rRNA". It matches the Rfam family "Bacterial small subunit ribosomal RNA", at positions 16 to 523 of the family's 1533-position model. The record is from RNAcentral.